AGCGAACGCUGGCGGCAGGCUUAACACAUGCAAGUCGAGCGGGCAUCCUUGUGGUGUCAGCUGCAGACGGGUGAGUAACGCGUGGGAACGUGCCCUUCGGUUCUGCAUAACUCAGGGAAACUUGAGCUAAUACCGGAUACGCCCUUUUGGGGAAAGGUUUACUGCCGAAGGAUCGGCCCGCGUCUGAUUAGCUAGUUGGUGAGGUUAUGGCUCACCAAGGCGACGAUCAGUAGCUGGUCUGAGAGGAUGAUCAGCCACACUGGGACGGAGACACGGCCCAGACUCCUACGGGAGGCAGCAGUGGGGAAUAUUGGAAAAUGGGGGCAACCCUGAUCCAGCCAUGCCGCGUGAGUGAUGACGGCCUUAGGGUUGUAAAGCUCUUUUCUCCGGGACGAUAAUGACGGUACCGGAGGAAUAAGCCCCGGCUAACUUCGUG
This 436-nucleotide ribosomal RNA is filed under the name uncultured bacterium. Its description in RNAcentral is "partial 16S ribosomal RNA". It matches the Rfam family "Bacterial small subunit ribosomal RNA", at positions 29 to 507 of the family's 1533-position model. The record is from RNAcentral.